Molecule: long non-coding RNA, 1834 nt
Organism: Myotis brandtii (Brandt's bat)
Lineage: Eukaryota; Metazoa; Chordata; Mammalia; Chiroptera; Vespertilionidae
Exons: 5
Source: RefSeq, a predicted model, not a curated record
AUACAGACUCUGAAGUUUGUGUGGGAAGGAUAUUUCACCUGGCUUUCAGAAAGUAGUCCCUGGGUAAGAAUCAUAUGGUCAUUAUUUGCUUUAAGUGACUAGAUAAUCUGUCUGAUCCAGGAUACUUUGUGUGAACAUUUCAGGAUAAUAUUAACAGAAACAUUAAAAAUCCAACACUUAAAUUAUAUUUUAUACUGUCUUAUAAAUUCUGUGUUAUAUUUAUAACACUCUGAAUAUAAGAUUUUUAUAAUUCUUUCUAAUUACCACCUAGAAGUUUCCCAAGUAUUCAUGAUUUACAGCCACCUAAACUGAACAUGGUUAACAUUUAAAGUACCAGGGUCAGUAACUAUAAAUCAUAUAAUUUGAAAAUAACAACUCAUGAUGAAUGCAAACAGCCUUAUUUUCCAGAUGGAAAAAGGGUUAGGAAGGCUUAUAGGAACUGCUCAACAACAGGCAUACAUUUCUGGCAGGGUGGGACUAGAACCAAGCUCUCCUGACAGAGUCCAGGGUUCCUGUGAUUGACAAUAUAUUGCCAAACCACCCAUCUUUUGAUGCUGGUAUAUUUUAAUCUGGAAAAAUACUGAAAUCCAUUCCAUAACAGAAGUCUGCAUCUCUUUCCUUGAAUUGUAAAAAAGUAUGUGUGUGUAUAUUGUGUGUGUGUUUUUUUUCAUGCCUAACAUUAAAUGGAACCUUCUUCCCCAGCUUCUUAUCUGACAAUUUCACAAUUGUGAUUUGAAAAGAUGUACUUUCCACUAGCACGCCUAGAUUCCCCUCAUCAUUUCCUCAUCCACACACCGCAACUGACACCGAUUGCCCACAGAAAGUCGAACAGGUGUGAAAAAGAGGCACUAGCAACCAGAUACUCAAAGCCCGUCUAACAAACACGAAGCACUGUCGGCUGAGCAAGACACCACUCCCCCUGAAGACCUUUGCAAAUGCACAGGAACCUGGGAGAGUCUGGCGCAAGGGGAGAGGAGCUGCCCAGCCUCCGGUGACGCAACAGGCUGGGCUGCCGGACCUCCACAGCUGCCACUCGGGCCUCAAGAACGGCAUCUAACAACAAUCACCUCCGUUUCUGAUUUUGCAUCGGUCACCUGCCAGCUUGUCGAAAAAUGGCUGCCAGGGCCCCACCCUGAGGACUCUGACUCCAGGGGGUGAGGACCCAGGAGAGUGCAUUUGCAGAAGCUCCCACCCCCUCCAGUGACUGGUGCACGGGGUUAGGAGCAGCCCUGGUACACGGGACUCAAACAGCUGGGAUCUGGAAUCCUUGUGAUCCCUGGGCUGUAGUGAGUGAGCUGUCCACGGCCUCCCCUUACCUGCAAGUAUCUUAAGCCAGAAGCAAGCAGAACCACAUGCAGCUAUCCAAACAGCCCUGCCAAAAGGCAUUAGGGGAUUCGUGUACCAGAAAGAACCCAAAACUCCAGAGAUUGAUCCUGGGACCAUAAUUUCCUGAAAUGUUCAAGGAAGAAUAAAGGAAACCCUCAUCAUGGGUCACACUGAGUCAGAGAUCUAUGAGAAAAUGAGGCCUAAAAAGUAAAAGGCUGAAUCCUUAAUUGCCCCCCAGGAGAAGUUGGAAAACCUCAGGAUGGUCUAGAGCCCCACAGAGUCAUGGAGAUGCUCAAGAGAACAUCUCAGGGCUCUUUCCAUCUGGGUUCUUGGUUGAAAUGGCUUGUCAUAGACCCUGUAUCCUGCUGGAACCUGUGUGUUGUAUGUCGUCUAGGAUGGCCCAGGCUGCAAAGGAAUCCAGGACCAGCAGCUUCCAAAGCUCUCCACGAUGUUGUCUUCUUUGCUGGGUACCUGAGGGGAUGGCCAACUGCUGCUGCUUGCCUUCCCA